CUAAACUCGCAGAGUUGACGUGGAAUCGUCCCCCAACGGGAGGGCAGCGUGCAGGCGGGUGGGUGAUGCAGAGAGAAUCUGAGCUCCAUCUGGAAGCAGAGCUCAGAGUCUACUCGCAGGAACAGAUGGGUGAACAGACCACUGUGAUGUCUGCUUGAUAACAAGCUUGCAAGAUUUAACCUUUCUGCGAAAUGAAACCUCUUGGGCCUCCAGUUCUCACUCUUCAGAUACAGAGGAUGUGAGUUGCACCCUGAGCCCUCUCGCUCUCAGCUGAGAGAAGCGUGCUUCGCUAGGUUUACUUGCAACUGACAUGUUUUCUGGUGAAGAAAAUCAUGAUGGCAAAGUCUGUGCAGAGGCACGACACUGAAGAGUCUGAAAUGACACCCGAUUUUGAGAAGGAAAGGUAUGAGGACAGAAGGUCAGGCAAAUGGAAAGGGUCAUGGAUAGGGCACUGGAGACCCGAGUCUGAGCACUUCUGCCUCUUCGGAGGAGGAAUUCCAAAUUGGCCAACUGGAGGCAUUGAAAUAAGUCCCAGAAAAAAUGGGGUGGGGUUGGCUUGAGAAAAUAGAGUACCUUGAACGGAAGAAGGGAUGUUCUGCUUUAACAGAACUAGAGCUGAGUAAAGAAAGUGGAGUGAAAUUAUAAUGGUGAUGGAGCACCUGGUUGGCUGAGUUGGUUAAACGUCCGACUGUUGGUUUCAGCUCGGGUCAUGAUCUUGCAGUUCGUGAGUUCAAGUCCUCCAUCAGGCUCUGCACUGACAGCACAGAGCCUGCUUGGGAUUCUCUCUCUCCCUCUCUU
Molecule: long non-coding RNA, 798 nt
Organism: Neofelis nebulosa (Clouded leopard)
Lineage: Eukaryota; Metazoa; Chordata; Mammalia; Carnivora; Felidae
Exons: 4
Source: RefSeq, a predicted model, not a curated record